Molecule: ribosomal RNA, 468 nt
Filed under: uncultured bacterium
Lineage: Bacteria
Description: partial 16S ribosomal RNA
Rfam family: Bacterial small subunit ribosomal RNA
Source: RNAcentral
GACGAACGCUGGCGGCGUGCUUAACACAUGCCAGUCGAACGGCAAGGCCCUGCUUUUGUGGGGUGCCCGAGUGGCGAACGCGUGAGUAACACGUGAGUAACCUGCCCUUGACUUUGGGAUAACUUCAGGAAAGUGGGGCUAAUACCGGAUAGGAGCUCCUGCUGCGUGGUGGGGGUUGGAAAGUUUCGGCGGUCGGGGAUGGACUCGCGGCUUAUCAGCUUGUUGGUCGGGUAGUGGCUUACCAAGGCUGUGACGGGUACGCGGCCUGAGAGGGUGGACGGCGUCCUUGGGACUGAGGGACGGAGCAGUCUCGUACAGGGGGCAGCGGUGGGGAAUAUUGCACAGUGGGCGGAAGCCGGAUGCAGCGACGUCGCGGUCGGGAUGACGGCCUGCGGGGUGUGAAACGCUUUCGCCUGAGACGACGCGGGAGUGACGGUAAUGGGUGAAGAAGCACCGGCUAACUACGUG